This 441-nucleotide ribosomal RNA is filed under the name uncultured bacterium. RNAcentral describes it as "partial 16S ribosomal RNA". It matches the Rfam family "Bacterial small subunit ribosomal RNA", at positions 338 to 795 of the family's 1533-position model. The record is from RNAcentral.
CCUACGGGUGGCAGCAGUGGGGAAUAUUGCACAAUGGGGGAAACCCUGAUGCAGCAACGCCGCGUGAAGGAAGACGGUUUUCGGAUUGUAAACUUCUGUUCUUAGUGAAGAAUAAUGACGGUAGCUAAGGAGCAAGCCACGACUAACUACGCGCCAGCAGCAGCGGUAAUAUGUAGGUGGCAAGCGUUGUCCGGAAUUACUGGGUGUAAAGGGAGCGCAGGCGGGAAGGCAAGUAAGCUGUGAAAACUACGGGCUUAACUUGUAGACUGCAGUUGAGAAUGGUUUUCUUGAGUGAAGGAGAGGUUGGCGGAAUUCCGGGUGUAGCGGUGAAAUGCGUAGAUAUUCGGAGGAACACCGGUGGCGAAGGCGGCCUACUGGGCAUUAACUGACGCUGAGGCUCGAAAGUGUGGGGAGCAAACAGGAUUAGAUACCCCUGUAGUC